This 1358-nucleotide ribosomal RNA is filed under the name uncultured bacterium. RNAcentral describes it as "bacterial SSU rRNA". It matches the Rfam family "Bacterial small subunit ribosomal RNA", at positions 8 to 1366 of the family's 1533-position model. The record is from RNAcentral.
AGAGUUUGAUCCUGGCUCAGGACGAACGCUGGCGGCGUGCUUAACACAUGCAAGUCGAACGAAGCACCUUAUUCUGAUUUCUUCGGAAUGAAAAAUUUGGUGACUGAGUGGCGGACGGGUGAGUAACGCGUGGGUAACCUGCCUCAUACAGGGGGAUAACAGUUAGAAAUGACUGCUAAUACCGCAUAAGACCACAGCACCGCAUGGUGCAGGGGUAAAAACUCCGGUGGUAUGAGAUGGACCCGCGUCUGAUUAGGUAGUUGGUGGGGUAACGGCCUACCAAGCCGACGAUCAGUAGCCGACCUGAGAGGGUGACCGGCCACAUUGGGACUGAGACACGGCCCAAACUCCUACGGGAGGCAGCAGUGGGGAAUAUUGCACAACGGGGGAAACCCUGAUGCAGCGACGCCGCGUGAGCGAUGAAGUAUUUCGGUAUGUAAAGCUCUAUCAGCAGGGAAGAAAAUGACGGUACCUGACUAAGAAGCACCGGCUAAAUACGUGCCAGCAGCCGCGGUAAUACGUAUGGUGCAAGCGUUAUCCGGAUUUACUGGGUGUAAAGGGAGCGUAGACGGAGUGGCAAGUCUGAUGUGAAAACCCGGGGCUCAACCCCGGGACUGCAUUGGAAACUGUCAAUCUAGAGUACCGGAGAGGUAAGCGGAAUUCCUAGUGUAGCGGUGAAAUGCGUAGAUAUUAGGAGGAACACCAGUGGCGAAGGCGGCUUACUGGACGGUAACUGACGUUGAGGCUCGAAAGCGUGGGGAGCAAACAGGAUUAGAUACCCUGGUAAUCCACGCUGUAAACGAUGAUUAAUAGGGUGUGGGGGGUCUGACCCCUUCCGUGCCGGAGUUAACACAAUAAGUUAAUCCACCUGGGGAGUACGGCCGCAAGGUUGAAACUCAAAGGAAUUGACGGGGGCCCGCACAAGCAGUGGAGUAUGUGGUUUAAUUCGAAGCAACGCGAAGAACCUUACCAGGUCUUGACAUCCAACUAACGAAGUAGAGAUACAUUAGGUGCCCUUCGGGGAAAGUUGAGACAGGUGGUGCAUGGUUGUCGUCAGCUCGUGUCGUGAGAUGUUGGGUUAAGUCCCGCAACGAGCGCAACCCUUGCUAUUAGUUGCUACGCAAGAGCACUCUAAUAGGACUGCCGUUGACAAAACGGAGGAAGGUGGGGACGACGUCAAAUCAUCAUGCCCCUUAUGACCUGGGCUACACACGUACUACAAUGGAUGUUAACAGAGGGAAGCAAGACAGUGAUGUGGAGCAAACCCCUAAAAACAUUCUCAGUUCAGAUUGCAGGCUGCAACCCGCCUGCAUGAAGAUGGAAUUGCUAGUAAUCGCGGAUCAGCAUGCCGCGGUGAA